Molecule: long non-coding RNA, 262 nt
Filed under: Lathyrus oleraceus (garden pea)
Lineage: Eukaryota; Viridiplantae; Streptophyta; Magnoliopsida; Fabales; Fabaceae
Description: Pisum sativum (pea) long non-coding RNA (PSAT_LNC022478)
Source: RNAcentral
UCUAGAGCUCUUUUUGACCUCUUUUAUGCAGCUCACACCUCUCGGGACGACACUCAGGAUCAUGGAUUAAUCUUCCUUCACCCUUAAUUCCAUUGGUUCUACUUUUUCAUCAAUGAUCGAGGUUACUUCUUUGAACAUUUCAUGGUGGUGAAACAUGUUACUCCUGAGGCUCACUUUACCUUCUGUUUGUCUCCGGCCCCGGUGGGAUGCACUCAUUCUUGCAAAAGUGAUUUUUUGAAGUAUUGGUCUAGAGCUCAUUUCC